GCACAUGCGCAGAAUCAUCGUGGUGCACGGCUCUCCCUUUGCUUCUUCGGUUGCAGUCCUCUUGCUUCUUGCGCGUGCGUGUAGCGCUUUUGCAAAGCCGCGGAGGUGAAGUGAACUUAGAGGUUGUGGGGCCGAGGGGUCGUCUUAUAGCUACCAGCCCACAGGCAUUUAGUCUACGUUGGAGGUAAACAAAUACGGGUCCUGCUUAGGAGAAAAGAAAAACGUCUUACAGCCAGUGUCUAAACUCCAAACAACGGAAUGUAUCAAUGAGACCUUGUAUAUGGAUACACGUGCAUUUAAAACCGCCCUGCCGGCUUGUAGAGCUUUUGCCGUUCUCCAGCGCUUUACAGGGGUUAUCGCACUUAAGCCUCGGAACAACUUUACCAGUGAUUCUACCAGAAAGGAAUGAAGAACAGAACCUUCAGGAAUUGAGUCACAAUGCAGACAAAUAUCAAAUGGGAGAUUGUUGCAAGGAAGAGAUUGAUGAUAGUAUUUUCUACUAGCCAUUGGGAAGAUAAAAGGAGACAGAAGAUUGAAGCCUUUGCCAGCCAUUCUUUCCCUUUUUGCUUCCAAACUCCUCAACUGGGAACCUUCAUAUGUGCAGUAUUUAUAUUGGAUCAUACUGGUGAUUAUAAAAGUUCCUAGGAGGCUAGAAGAGCCAACCAACAGAGAAGGGAAAGCAGUCUGUUCUGAACAUAGGGACAUAAGUUCAUUCAUGCCAAGUAUCUUUCCAGCAUGUUUCUCCCAUUUAGAAUAUCUAGCAUGUAAGGCCUUUCAAUAUUAAUAUAAGCCCAAUAUCAGCUCUUUCUCUUUGUAUUUCAUCUCUUUCUACUCUCCUAUUUGUAUUUUGUGUUCCUAUCAAAGUGUCGUAUCUGGGAGAUGACCUGCCUUAUCCUGUUCUAUAACAGUUUUGUUUGCUGCUGUGUCUUUAGAACAGUGCCUGGCACACAGUAAGCACUCAAUAAAUCUUUGAUGAAUGAA
RNAcentral lists this long non-coding RNA (981 nucleotides) under Homo sapiens (human). RNAcentral describes it as "non-protein coding DLEU1:53". The stretch from base 517 to 858 matches the Rfam family "Deleted in lymphocytic leukemia 1 conserved region 2". Lineage: Eukaryota; Metazoa; Chordata; Mammalia; Primates; Hominidae. The record is from RNAcentral.